GAAAUGCGAUAAGUAAUGUGAAUUGCAGAAUUCAGUGAAUCAUCGAAUCUUUGAACGCACCUUGCGCUCCUUGGUAUUCCUUGGAGCAUGCCUGUUUGAGUAUCAUGAAAUCUUCAAAGUAAAUCUUUUGUUAACUCAAUUGGUUUCUACUUUGGUAUUGGAGGUCUUUGCAGCUUCACACCUGCUCCUCUUUGUUCAUUAGCUGGAUCUCAGUGUUAUGCUUGGUUCCACUCGGCGUGAUAAGUUAUCUAUCGCUGAGGACACUGUAAAAGGUGGCCAAGGUAAAUGCAGAUGAACCGCUUCUAAUAGUCCAUUGACUUGGACAAUACUUUUAUGAUCUGAUCUCAAAUCAGGUAGGACUCCCCGCUGAACUUAGGC
RNAcentral lists this unclassified non-coding RNA (378 nucleotides) under plant metagenome. RNAcentral describes it as "partial contains 5.8S ribosomal RNA, internal transcribed spacer 2, and large subunit ribosomal RNA". The stretch from base 1 to 105 matches the Rfam family "5.8S ribosomal RNA", at positions 50 to 154 of the family's 154-position model. The record is from RNAcentral.